RNAcentral lists this long non-coding RNA (594 nucleotides) under Cyanistes caeruleus (blue tit). RNAcentral describes it as "lncRNA (ENSCCEG00000009530.1)". The record is from RNAcentral. Lineage: Eukaryota; Metazoa; Chordata; Aves; Passeriformes; Paridae.
AUCGUUUCUGCUUUCUCUAUAGCAAACAGGGGACAAACAUGGAAGAAUCCUUUAAAAGCUUUUGCUAAGGUCACCAUACUCAGACUGCCACCAAAGAUUUGCUCUGCUGGUUGAGACAUUAGUAAGGCUAAAAUAUUUAAAAUUGAAAAACAUCAGAUCCUCCUGGCUGGAAGAUAAAGUGGGAAGCAAUUUUUCACACAGGAAAAGGCUUCCUAUUUUUCACUUUGGAACCCAGAAUGAGUCUUCCCUUUCUCUUUUGAAAUUUUUUUUAAAGCCAAAAUAUUAUUGGUUUUUAUUUUUUGGUUUUUUUGAAAUAAAGAGACAUAACAGAAAAGCACUAUGAAGCAGCAGACGAUCUGUGUGGCUGCAUACCUUUCUAAAAAAAGAUAAAGAAAUACACAUAGAUAAAAAUUCUUGGUUUGAUUUUUAUUCCUUUUUGCUAUUUUUACAAAGUUGAGGAAGCCUUGCUUUUUGUUAAAGUCUACUCAUUCUUCUGCACUAAAAAGAGAAAUUCCAAGGGAUCUGUGGAAGAUAACCAGACAACAUUAUUUAGAAACAAGGAAGAAACUUGUAUUUUUUAUGUUUCAAACCUGG